Molecule: non-coding RNA, 1436 nt
Organism: Linepithema humile (Argentine ant)
Lineage: Eukaryota; Metazoa; Arthropoda; Insecta; Hymenoptera; Formicidae
Source: RefSeq, a predicted model, not a curated record
UUCUAUGCUUUUCGCGAGGAUAAAACUGCGAUCGAUGGUCAGCUCUGAAAGAUACUCGUUGGCCCGAAUGAAAGCAGAUGGAUCGUACGCGGAGGCUUGCACGAAUCCGUCAUAUUAUCAUUGAGAAACACGACGCUUCCAAAAUCAUUUCUUCAAAGCUGUGAUUGCAGCGAACUAUAAUAACUACGACGUGUUCAACGUGCCAAGGAAGCGUCUGACACUGGACAGCCGCGACUACUGCUCUCGACAGACAGCUGGCCUCAAGGGGCGAGCGCAUCGUGCGUUUCCGCAAGCGACUGAGAAGACCUGUGCCGAACAGAUAAGCAAAGAUCGCCAGAAGGGGAGAGAAAGGAAGAGAAAGAGAGGAAAGACAUAUGCAAGAAUCGAGUCAGAUGUAGGCGGGUGAAGACAGAGGUCGAGCUUUGCUCCCUGUUUCGCCGCGAGCCCGUAGGGGGCAUUCCACGCAGGAAAGAGACUAAGGGUAGGAUCUGGACACCCACAGGCAACGGGAAGGAAGGAAGGAAGGAAGGAAGCAAGUGAGCAAGAAAGGGGAAGCAUCGUACGCGCUUUUCUCUUCCUAUUUCUCCACCUUUGUCACUCUCCUUCUCACCGAUCUCGUGACCGCGUGUGGCUCACGGGUCUCGUGACCGCCGCCGCCGCCGUCGGUCCGUAUGUCGAUAUUCGAGUGCGCGGCGCAGGCUGAGCAGUGGCAGUACCGAGCCACUGCGCCGAGAGUCUAAAAUUAUCGGAUAGCCCGCGCGCGCGGCCGCCAACGGAAGAGAAAGAGAAAGAACAGAGGCGCGGCAGUUACGGCGUCGCGUCACGAAACGGACAAGGACAGUCCAUGGCGAGAGGAAGCGAACGGAUCUCGAGGUAGAGCGAGACAGAUAAAACGACGAUACGUUGUGUGACAGCUAAUCCAGUGCAGGGACGACGGACGAAUCGUGGCAACGACGAAGAAAAUGCGAUGUAAUAUAGAUGGUUGGAGUCAGACGAGAACUGGAGCGAGUAGGUAAGGAGAGAGAGAGAGAGAAAGAAAAUCGUUAAAGAGCGAGAGAAAGGAAUGAAUAAACAGAAAGAGUAAGUGAGAAAAAUGGGUAUUGGACAAGGAGGGCAGCCGUGAGAUCGCCCAACAUAGAGAGCAGGCGGAAGAGAGAUAGCGUGACAAAAUUGUACAAGUAGUAGUAGUAGCUAGUACGAGCGUAGUUGAAGUAAGAGAAGGGGAGAGAACGAGGAGGUGCACGUUCUGCAGCAGGGAAAAAGAGGGAAAUACACGAGACAGAGUCAAGCAGUCGAUGCCGGGCGAGCGCGGUGUGUGAGCUGUGGAGUGAGAGAGAGAGAGAGGAAGACAAGCGUGCGCUGUAAAGUGAAAGAAAAAGAGACAGCAAGAGCGAGUGAGGGAGAUGAACGAAUAGACUACCACGUAAAGUGGAAGC